UCCACGCUUUAAACGAUGGAUACUAGGUGUUGGAGGGUUUCGACCCCUUCAGUGCCGUCGCUAACGCAUUAAGUAUCCCGCCUGGGGAGUACGGUCGCAAGAUUAAAACUCAAAGGAAUAGACGGGGACCCACACAAGCGGUGGAGCACCUGGCUUAAUUCGAUAAUGAGCGAGGAACCUUACCUGGACUUGACAUCCUGAGAAUUUUCUAGAAAUAGAAAAGUGCCUUAUGGAACUCAGUGACAGGUGCUGCAUGGUUGUCGUCAGCUCGUGCCUUGAGGUGUUCGGUUAAGUCCGUAAACG
RNAcentral lists this ribosomal RNA (303 nucleotides) under uncultured bacterium. RNAcentral describes it as "bacterial SSU rRNA". It matches the Rfam family "Bacterial small subunit ribosomal RNA", at positions 794 to 1094 of the family's 1533-position model. The record is from RNAcentral.